CCUUGCUGCUAGCAGGCCAGCUGGAGGCGAAGUAGUGCCGGAGAUGAGAGAUUUUGCCGGUGGCCCAGACAUAGAGAUGGAUGACACUGUUGUGAUAGCUGAACAGCACCAUCCAAGAACAGCAACAGAAAACAUUCGUGUUAUUCAAGAUAUGGAAUAUAUGGAAAGUAUGAUUGUAGAUGGUGAAAAGGCCAAUUGAAGAAGGGUUGCUCGCCUAAACCUCCAGAUUGCACGCACUGAAAGGAGGGCAAGGAGAAGAACUAAGUCAGCUGACAGAAAAGAGGCUUGCAGACUGGGCCCAGAACCAGAUGAGGAGGGAUGUAUCCAGGUGAAAUUUGUGUGUCCUGAAACGAAUUUAAUGAGGCGAUUCCGGGAAACGGAUACUGUCCUGAGCUUGUUCUAUUUUGUUGAGGGAACGAGCAAGGUUCAGGGCUGUGAACUUAUGUUAGCUGGCGAAAAGCUGAAGCGGGAUCAACUCUCCCUGAAGGAGGUUGGGAGAACAUCAAACACCACACUGCACAUAAAAGAUGAUGAUGAUCUCCAAUUGUCUUCACAUGUCAUUGUUCUUAUUCUAGGAUGUGGAACCUUUGGAUGAGGAGGAAAUGGACAAAAAUGAAGAGGAGAAUAAUCUACUGCUACUGGUUCAGUUUGCACAAAAACCUGUCUUGGAGAUCUACAAAGUGCAGCUAUGGAGAUAAAAACCUUCAUUCGAGUUGGUGUGGAGAAGAACAUGUUCAUCAGCCGUGAGUCGAUCUUAAACCUGAUGGACUAUUAUAGGAGUGAUGACCAACUGACUUUCCAUCGAAUCAAUGUGACGUUUGAAGGAGAAAACAUUGCAGAGGAUAUGGAUGGCUUGUCCCGAGAGAUGUUUACGUGUUUUCUGAAGGCUGCCCUCUCAAAGUAUUUUGAGGGGAGUGAUGCCAAGGUCCCAAAAGUGGACCAUGAUGUGAUGGACACUGAUGUUUUCUCCAUCAUUGGGAAAAUCAUCAGCCACGCUUACGUGGGGGUACUUCCCAAUGAGCCUAUGCAAGGCAUCAUUGUGUGCCCUGUUUGACCCGAAUGUGGACUUUGAGAUGAUCACAAGUUCUUUCUUAAAGCUCUUGCCUCCUCUUGAGAGAGACUUUAUGAAUACAACACUCAAAGAUCCGAUCACGCUCAAGGUGAAUGCAAACAGAUUGCGAUGCAUGUCAAUAUUUCCCAUCGGCACUAAAUAAUAUUUUUUCUUUUGCCAAAAGGAAGAGUAAAUGAUUUUCACCAAAAUGUGUUGCAACAAUGGUAAGAUAAUAGGAGAUGACAUGGUGUUUAACUCCGAUAUUCCCUUCAUAAUAUGGCUAAAAGUCGAAUAUUAGAGUAAAACACCUUGUACAAUCUGCUUAUAUCUAAUUACUCUUGUAAAUCAUUUUGGUUAUGAUCAUUUACUUUUCCUUUUGACCAUGUUGACAAACAAACAAAGUGAUUUUUUAGUGCAAAGGACACAUUUAAACAUGUUAAAUGAGUAAAAAUGGGAAGAUUAACUUAAGAGAAAUGCAUGUAUACAAUGUAUGGGAAAAUGUACAUGAAAUGGAAAAAUGCAGUUUUCUCAAAAUGUUACCAACAUAUUUUUUUAAUUCUUUCUGUUUUGAAACUAUAUGAUAUUGGCUACAAUGUGGCACAGGUUUCAUCUCAAUGCAAUUUAAAAAAAAUCUUACUGAAAGUUAAGGAACACUGUGUCACUAGACUCAAUAAUUCAUAUGGGAGGGGCAGCACUACCCACUAGUCCACCCGACUGAACAACCUCGCUAUUUUACUGGCUGUGAGUGGCCUUGGCUCGCUGCCAAUCUGUUGUUGGCGUCGCGAGACCAAACGCAGGAAUACUGGUGCAGUUGUUCAGUUGGGUGGACAAGUGGUUACCCCCCC
Lineus longissimus is the source of this 1896-nucleotide RNA transcript. RefSeq lists it as uncharacterized. The transcript is spliced from 8 exons. The record is from RefSeq and is a predicted model, not a curated record. Lineage: Eukaryota; Metazoa; Nemertea; Pilidiophora; Heteronemertea; Lineidae.